This 460-nucleotide ribosomal RNA is filed under the name uncultured bacterium. Its description in RNAcentral is "partial 16S ribosomal RNA". It matches the Rfam family "Bacterial small subunit ribosomal RNA", at positions 338 to 795 of the family's 1533-position model. The record is from RNAcentral.
CCUACGGGAGGCAGCAGUGAGGAAUAUUGGUCAAUGGGCGUAAGCCUGAACCAGCCAAGUCGCGUGAGGGAUGAAUGUUCUAUGGAUCGUAAACCUCUUUUAUAAGGGAAUAAAGUGUGGCACGUGUCCUAUUUUGUAUGUACCUUAUGAAUAAGGAUCGGCUAACUCCGUGCCAGCAGCCGCGGUAAUACGGAGGAUCCGAGCGUUAUCCGGAUUUAUUGGGUUUAAAGGGUGCGUAGACGGCUUGUUAAGUCAGUUGUGAAAGUUUGCGGCUCAACCGUAAUAUUGCCGUUGAUACUGGGAGGCUUGAGUAUGUUUGAGGUAGGCGGAAUGCGUGGUGUAGCGGUGAAAUGCUUAGAUAUCACGAAGAACCCCGAUUGCGAAGGCAGCUUGCUAAGCUGUCACUGACAUUGAUGCACGAAAGUGUGGGGAUCAAACAGGAUUAGAUACCCGGGUAGUC